AGUCACUGAUACCCUGAUCCUCCAUGAUUUUUAAACUCCUCUCUUAAAGCCAUCCAAGUUGGUGGCCAUAACUACUUCUCAAGGGAGCGAAUGCCAUAGUUUAGCUAUAUGUGGUGUGAUGAAAUCUUUCCUUUCAUCUGUCCCAAAUCUCCCAGUGUUCAGCUUUGGAUGGUGCUUCUGUGAUUCUGACCACAUCAGCAUGAUGUGAUGUAUUUUGACAGGAGGAAACAAAAAGAAUAAUGGGCCAAGCCAUGUAAUUAAUCUUGACUUUAAUAAAAUAUUUUGAUACUACAUCUCUCAGGAGACAGCCUAGCAGUAUAAUUUAUAUUGAUGGGGAUGGAUGCAAAGCUGCCAGAAAGGGCCUAAAUUACAGUAUGAAAAAGGAUAACUGACAGGGGAUUGACAUGGAGGAAGUAUUCAGCAUUUUGCUAUAGGCCUUUGAUUCUACAUAACUGUGGCAGUAGACUUUUGUGAGGGAUAUACCAUGACAGAUUCACAUGAGAUUCAUGUGACGGAUCAUGCCUAGAAACUAGACACUGGCACAGAGAUUGUGCGUGUGGCACCCAUAGGAGUCAGAGUACCUAUAAGCUUCUCCUAUGGAAGCCAGGAAAGAUUUCAGUAAAUAUCCUCUCAAAUAUCCACAGUUCACGAGAGACUCUUUGCUCUUCCUGCUCAGUCACCUGUUUUGCACUGGCUCAGCUUCUACAAUUAACAUGCCCCCUAAAAGAUGCUCACAUUUAAUUGGAUGCUAGGAACAGAUGCUUGCCCACUUCUGUUCUGGAAAGAGGAGAGGUGCAAAGAGCUUCUCAGGGAACAAGCAUGGUGGUGCCUGAUGCUGGUGUCUCCUCCCUUAUUUUCUUAUUUUCUUUUUUAACUUAGAGUUUUUUAAAAUUACAUAUCAAUAAACAAGACUCAUAAGUACAACUAAGAAUUGAGUUCCAGUCCUCCUUUAAAUGCACAGGGGGGAAAAGAAAACCUAUACAAUAAUUAAGAAAUAUACAGACAGCAAUACAGAAAGCCAACAAAGAUAAUAUAUAGAAUUUAAGCUAAGGACCAAAGCUGUUUAGGUAUAAUACCUGUCCAUAAUGGGUGAUGAACCUCUGAGGGAGGAGUACUCCCUUUUGUCACAAAACAAAUUCAGCAACAGAGACCAAGUAACUGAGAAUGAUGUUUUAGAUUUAAUCCCUAGCUGUCUGUUACACUCUGUAACUUUUCCUACAACUUCUAACUGCCAUACCCUUUUUCACCAGCCUUUUAAGGUGCAGUGGGAAUAGUAUGUCUAAUGCUGGGUGUAUUCCAACUUAGCUGCUGUUACUAGGUGGGUAAUUAAGUCUCUAUAUAAUGACAGAGGACGAGAUGGUUGGACAGUGUUCUCGAAGCUACCAGCAUGAGUUUGACCAAGCUGUGGGAGGCAGUGGAAUACAGGAGUGCCUGGCGUGCUCUGGUCCAUGGGGUCAUGAAGAGUCGGACACGACUAAAUGACUAAACAACAACAACACCACAUUUUGCAGGAUUUCUGGAAAGAGUGAUAGCAAUGCUAAACCUGGGUCUGGAGGGAUAAUUUGUUGCUCCUGCCAUUUUGUGGUUCUGUCUCUUCUUCUGAUGUCUUGGAUGUGACAGCUAUUUUAUGUUAUGACAGAGCCCCAUGGCAGAUGUUUUGUGAUUGGCGCCCACCUCACUUUCUCAAAAUCCUAGUAUAUCUGGGUGAAUGCUAGGUUAGAAUCCUUACUGACAUCUAGUUUUCUAUGUUGGAGUAUGAAGGAAUUGGGGGGGGGGUAUACAAGCUCCCACCUAUUGUCUAAAGCAAUAUAUUCCAGACACAGGUAUACUAUCUCACUGAUAACUUGCUGAGGCUGUGGUAUUAGACAGCAGUCAGUCACGAACCAGAAGCCUGGAAUUGAGCCUGGGAACCAGAACACAGGAAAAAAUGUUAAGGACCACCUGAUGCCAUAUUCUCCACCAUUUUAAUGAUGCGGCACUUUUGAUAUCAUUAGCAAUCGGGAGAAAAAAAACCUCUUGCAACUCAGAGCUUUGUCAAAAUUUGAAAGCAGCAAAUCUCAAUUGUGGGAUGCAGGUUGGGCCCUCACAUGUGCAGAAUCACUGGUUGUCAAGAAUGUGAUCCAGCCCAUAGCUGAAAUCAUUUCCUACCAAUGAUGGUUAGAUAAAUAUGGAGUUAUAGUAAAAUCACCUGGGUUUUAUUGUGUAUUUCUCUUUAAAAUUUAUCCGAGUCUGUAUUUCACUGGUGUCAAUGUAAUGGUGCUAAUAGCAAUAUAAACUAAAUGAAUAGACAAGGAAUUGGCUAAUAGCAAUGCAAACAAAAGAGGAAAGAACGAACUGACAUAAUAAAAUGUCAGCCAAACUACCAGUAAAAUAAAAGCAUUGAUGUCUGGCAAAUUCUUGAGAGAUGAUUUCUUGUUGCACCAGGCUGUUUUAAAGUGAUGUGUGAAUGAAUUAAUUGAUCUAAAUGUUAUAGGGGAUGAAAAUGGAAUCUUUUCUUUUAAAGGAAGCCUAUAAUGUUUAAAAGAGAGAUGGGGAUCCUGUGACCCUCCAGACGCUGUUGGAAUCCAUCAGAAAUUUCUUCCCACUGUUUAGUUGGAAUCUCCUUUCUUGUCAUUUGAAUCCAUUAGUUCAGGUCAUAGCAGCAAAAGUAGCAAAAGACAAGCUUGCUCUCUCUUCCAUGUCAGAUCCCUUCCGAUGUUUAAAGAUGACUACCGUGCCACCUCUCAUUCUCUUCUUCUCAAGACUAAACAUGCUCAGCUCCCUCAGCCAAUUCUAGCUAGCCUCAUAUUGGAAGCCUUAAAAGAGGACACAGACAAGAAUUGGAAAAGCUGAAUGACGCUGUAAGGUUUUUAAAAAUGUACAUGGAAAAAUACACAGCACUCUUGGGUUGCCAUACAUCUGGAUUUUCCCAGACAUGACCUCUUUUUCAGGGAUGAAAUCACUGUGGGCGGAUUUUUAAAAUAUUGUAAAAUGUCCAGGUUUGGAGGGGGGCGUUGCGUGUGAGGGAACUGGCCGAAUGGCAGCACGGUUACAAAAGGAAGUGGUGGUUGCAGCGCUGUUGUUUCUGGCAGCCAUGUGUGCUUAUACACACACAUCUGUCCGUUUGUCUGUCACCAAGGGAGGCAGGUGAGGCCAAGGCCUGAGAGAGCCGGUGCAUCCCUGAAACAUAUGUUUAUACUAAAUUUAGGAAGAAAGUGCUGGAUUGUAUAAAUAUGACUGUUCAGGAAAGAAAACCUUAAUAUUUUCAACAGAAAAUAUUCUUCUGAGCUAAAUACCUACUAUAUGGAAGUUACCAACUAGACAACAAAAAUGGUCUUCACGUGCUCUAAUCGUAGCCAAGAGGCUGAUAUUGAUGAACUGGAAGAAUAAAGACAUCUCCUUUAAUCAGUGGAUUGAUAUGAUAACACCUGCAACCUAUGAAUGGACUGCUUAAAGAUAUAGACUCUGCUUGGAUAAAUACGACAAUAUUUGGAAUGAAUUUAUGCAAAAUAUAGUAGGCUAUUAAUAUUUACAUUAGUAUUAGGAUAAUAAUAUCAAAUUUAUAAAAGGAUGUAUGGGUUAGGGUAUUUUUGUAUAUAUUCGUAUAAUGUUUCCUUCCCCCUUUACAAAAUUGUGUGUUUUGUUCUUUUUUUGUAUCACUUUACAGCUUUGUAUUUGAAAAUUUUUCAAUAACAUAGCAUUUUUUUAAAAAAAGAGGGAGCAAGUGAGCAGUCCUUCCAUCAGUUUGUCCAUUAGGUGAGCUGCUGGCUAGCUGGCCAGCUGAGCGGACCUCGCUUCUCCCCCUCACCAAGGGCCACGCCAGGCAAGGCAUCUGAGGAGUAGCCUCCCUCACAUUCUUCCUCUUCCUCCUUCCCUCAAUGGUCUCUGGACCAAGGCCCGGCCCCUCACAGUGUGAUAAGGUGUUUGAGAGUGCAGCCCAUGGAAGCUGCAUCAUAGUCAGUUGCCAUUUAUGGAGUUACAUGUAAGCCUUGUCUAUCAUUGGCUGGGUCAUGUAAGUUGGGUUUGAGGUCAUAAUUGGUGUGUGUGUGGUGGGAAACUCCUAGGAAUGGAGGAAGCUGCCUGAAACCCAGUCACACUGUGGAUAAAUCUACCUCAGUGUUGACUACAUUGACUGGCAGAAGCUCUCAAGUGUUUCACAGAGACUGUUGGUGUACUGCCCUCUUUCACUCACCCCAGGCAUUGGCAAUAUGGCUGUAUUUCUAACGGGUGAAGAUAAGCCAUCCGAAGAGCCUUGAUGGGACCUCUUAGUGCCUCUCUGAAUUUCCUUUCAUUCUUUCACUCUCCCCUCCAUUUCAUAUUUGUUUGUACCUCUGAUACCUACUCCUGAUAGAAAGGUUUUCUCUUCCAUCUCUCUGCCUGUAAGGGGUUUCUGUCAUUUCUCUUCUCUCAUUUUGCUCUUCCCCACUGUCUCCACCUUCCUUAUCUUUCCACUUCAGUCCCACCUUCACACCCUCUUGUUCUCCAUCCUAGCCCCUUCCCCUUUCCUCUUCCACUCCAGACCCCUGCUCUGCUCCCUGCCAAUCAGUUGAGAGGGACUGCACCUAGUCCCUGUCUCGCAUUGGCUUGGAAGAGGGACAGGGAUUUGUGCAAAUUUCCUAGUUAAAAUCCACAGGGUGGAAUUCAACAUUGCAUUACCCUGUGUAGACCAACCAUUAACUACUUACCUUCUCCAGAGCACAAAGUGCUUUUAAAAGGACUUUCCUUUAGAAAAAGAGUUAUUGUCCCUUACCGUAUUUGGCUAUGAUUCUGCACUGGUCCCCCAAAAUUGGGACAUUUCUAGGAACAAAUCCUUCUCAAAUUUUCCCUGAAUGAAAUUCUUGGCACCAAAAUUUUGAAUCCAUUUUGGCUGCUCUUAUUAAACAGAGAACUCAUAGCAGCACGGAGGGCAUGCUUCUUUAACACACUAAAUCCACUUGUCACCCUUCUGCUAUGGUCUGAGGAAGCAAAUCUGAAAGCUCAGACAUCUAUUGUUGGCAAGAAAAGUCUCUUGACAUUUUCACUGUAGAACAAGUCCCUUGCUCUUCAGGCACCACUUAAAAUCAGCACAUUUCUAAGUACCGUAGCUCUUCAUUGGUCUUUUUACUGUUUCCAACAGAGAAUGCAUGAAUUCAAGAAUCGUAUUCAAUUAUGGAUAAGGAUACUUAAGUGUUUGGGCUUGACAUCUGAAUUGACAGACCAUGAUUUGUGUGAUCAGCCAGUGAUCCAGAACCGGAAACCAUGAUUUGCACUAAUUAUGGUUUGGGGUCUGAAUUGUCUGAACGUCUGAAUUGACAAACCAGUGCCUAACAUGGUGAUAACAGAAUAAUCAAUGCAAGGAGAGAGUUGAAGCCCAAUAAAGUAAAAGAAUUGGUAAGGGAACAUCUAGCUACUUUAAAUGAAUUCAAAUCUCCAGGGCCUGAUGAACUGCACCUGAAGGUACUAAAAGAGCUUGCAGAGUCAAUCUCAGAGCCUCUGUCUAUAAUCGAGAACUCUUGGAGAACAAGUGAGGCCCCUGAAGACUGAAAGUGGGCAAAUGUUGUCCACAUCUUCAGAAGGAUGGGGGUUGGGGUGGGGAGAAGACCCAGAUAACUACUGACCAUUGAGCUUGACAUCAGUACCAGGAAAGGACCUAUAAUAGAUAAUUUAGUUGGUCUGUGGGCACUUAGAAAAGGAUGCUUUGAUUACGAAGACUCAGCAUGGGUUUCUCAAAAGCAAGUAAUGCCAGACAAAUAAAAUUUUUUUUUGAUAGAGUUACAAGCAUGGUGGAUCCAGGGGAUGCUGUGGACAUAGCGCAUAUUGAUUUUAGCAAGACUUUUGACAAAGUUCCCCAUGAUAUUCUUGCAGAGAAGCUGGUAAAUGUGGACUAGACAAGGUAACUGUUAGGUGGAUUUGUAGCUGGUCAAUUGACCAAACCCAAAGAAUAUUCAGUAAUAGUUCCUCAUCAUCCGGGAGGAAAGUGACAAGUAGGGUGUUGCAGGGUUCUUUUCCGAGCCUCAUUCAAUUUUUAGAUGACACCAGACUGGUAGGGGCUGCUAAUGCUGUUGAAGACAGAAUUGGGAUUCAAGAUGACCAAACUGAUUUGAGAAUUGUGUCAAAACAAAGAAAAUGAAUUUCAACAGGGACAAAUGUAAGGUUCUACACUUAAGCAGGAAUAGCCAGCUGUACAAAUAUAGAAGCAAAAAAAAAAAAAAAAAAAGAAGAAGAAGAAGAAGAAAAAAAAGCUAAUGGUAUUCUAGGCUACAUCAACAGAAGUAUAGUGUCCUGAUCAAGGAAAGUAAUAUUCCCAUCCCAUUCUGCUUUGGUCAGACCACACCAGGUAUACUAUGUCCAGUUCUGGAGGCCACAAUUUAAGAAGGAUAUUGACAAGCUGGAACAUGUACAGAAGAGGGUGACCAUGAUGAUAAAGGGUCUGAAAACUAAGCCUUAUGAGAUAUGGUUAAGGGAGGUGAGUAUGUUUAGCCUGCUAAACAGGAAAUUCUGAGUAAACAUUCUGAUGGCAACAGCUAUUCUCCAGAAGCCCCAGGAUGCUUUUGUAAGAUCUGGGGAUGUUUGAGUUCCCACAAGACCUUUUGGGAGCACCCCAGACCUGGCAAGAAGAGAGAGCCUUGCUUGGAAAGCAAUGCAGAGAGCUUAAAAGCGCCCUUUGUGCUGGGAAAAUCCAGUGCAAAAAGAGCUUUUAAGCUUUCUGCCUUGCUUCCUGAGCAAGGACUCUCAUUGUGCCAGCUCCGUAUUUAACUUGCGGGAUUUCAGCCAGCUGGCCUUCAAGCACAUGUAGUUGAAACUGUGCAAGUUAAAGGCACAAAAGGCCUGAUCAAACUACUGUAUACCAGACCCUCCAAGUGUCUCUAUUUUGCAGGAUAGUCCCUGAUUUAGAGAAGCUGUUCCGGUUUCUGAUUUGAUCCUAGAAUGUCCCACUUUUCCUUCAGAUGUCCCUAUUUUCAUCAAAGAAAUGUUGGAGGGUAUGGAGUUAUACAACUCCCAAGCUCCCAGGCAAUCCUGUAUGGGGAAGGGUUUUUUUUAAUGUUUAAUUCUUUGUUAUGUUUUUAUAUAUAUUAGAAGCUGCCCAGAGUGUCUGGGGCAACCCAGUAAGAUGUGUGGAGUAUAAAUAGUAAAAUUAUCAUUAUGGAAUGGGACAUCCCUAUUUUCAUCAGAGAAUGUUGGGGGGUAUGCUGCGUAUACUAUAAAGUGUGUGGUGAUGGAUACUGUCUGUUUUGAUGGGGAAGGGUGCCAGUCCACUCUCUAAUAAGAGAAAGAUGUCUCUGAGCAGAAGCCUAGCAUCUUUCUCAGAGACGCACCACCCAGUGGCAUCUGCCCUGUCACUCAGCAAAUGGAGCUGCUGUACCAUGUGGAAGGAAAAGCUGGAAUGUGUACAAAGGGCUCUGGGUGCGAGCAGGAGAAAAUCCAAUAUUGUAGAAUUCAUAUCAGAAAAAAAUCAUCUUGUUUUCUCUCUGCCUUGCAUUGCCGGUAGAUCUGAGAGCAGCUGUAUUGAUACAACCUGGUGGUGGUUUGUUGUCGAGCCUUGUAGCAUGAUAUUAAAUUUUCAGCUUUAUUGCUAAAGUCAGCAGUUCCUCAAGCUGGUAAGGAGGGAGACAGAAUGAAGCAGGAGAGAGACAGAGAAGUGGGCGUUUCAUGGUUGGGAUGGACAUCGCUCAAUGUGUCAGAUGUUCAUUGAGGACGAAAGACCAGAAAUAGACUAGCAACAUUAAACAAGAGCUGAAUAACAAACAAACAAACAAAGAAACAAAGCCUCCUAUUCUUCUGCCUCUCUCCUCCCACCCCCAAUAUACUGCAUUGCACACCUGGGAGCAGGGAUGAGCACGAGUCGAUUGCUGCAGAGCAUAGGAACCUGCCUUAAAUUGCCAGAGCAUUGGUCCGUCUGGCUCGAUUCUGUCUACACAGAUUAGUAGGAGCUCUCCAGGAUUUCAGGCAGGAGAGUUUGCCCAACUUACCUUUGAAAAAGUAAGUGGUAUCUCAAAUUGAAUGAAUGAAUGAAACUAUUUGGAGGUGCCAAGGAUUGAACUUGGGGCGUUCUGUAUACAAGCUUCUUUUUAAAAUACCUGUAGCAAAAUCAAGACACUUUGCUUCUUUCUGCAUUUCUCUCCCAACAGCCACCUGGCCAGUCUUUUGUGUGGAUCAGGUCAAGUUGCCCUUGAACUGUCCUUCUGAGGCAGCACUAGGAAACCGACAUGGUUAUCUUGUGAGCCCAGUAUAUUGCAUUCUUACAUCUGCUAAGAAUAUUGGAUCUCUCCCCCCCUUGAGUGUUCCAUGCUGAUGGCAGUGUAAUCAUGUAAAGCAUUUCCUUGGAG
This is a non-coding RNA of Podarcis lilfordi (Lilford's wall lizard), 8285 nucleotides long. NCBI's taxonomy places the organism in Eukaryota, Metazoa, Chordata, Lepidosauria, Squamata, Lacertidae. The record is from the annotation of a GenBank genome assembly.